This is a long non-coding RNA of Solanum verrucosum, 186 nucleotides long. RefSeq lists it as uncharacterized. The record is from RefSeq and is a predicted model, not a curated record. The transcript has 4 exons. NCBI's taxonomy places the organism in Eukaryota, Viridiplantae, Streptophyta, Magnoliopsida, Solanales, Solanaceae.
GCUGGUAGGGCUUUGCUGGGAGCAUCAACAACGCAUAUCAGGGGAUACUGCCAGAAAGUUUCAUCCACUGCCGAACUCGAUCGCUCAUUUCGUCGUACUUGUAUUAUGUUUGGUGCUGGGGCCGUAACGGCUUGUAAUAUCCUUUAUUGCACGUUUCACACUAAACUGAAUGAAGUCCGGGAACAG